UACGGAGGGUGCAAGCGUUAUCCGGAUUCACUGGGUUUAAAGGGUUCGUAGGUGGGUUGAUAAGUCAGUGGUGAAAUCCCCGAGCUUAACUUGGGAACUGCCAUUGAUACUAUUGAUCUUGAAUACCGUGGAGGUCAGCGGAAUAUGUCAUGUAGCGGUGAAAUGCUUAGAUAUGACAUAGAACACCAAUUGCGAAGGCAGCUGGCUACGCGAAUAUUGACACUGAUGCACGAAAGCGUGGGGAUCAAACAGG
RNAcentral lists this ribosomal RNA (253 nucleotides) under uncultured bacterium. RNAcentral's name for it is "partial 16S ribosomal RNA". It matches the Rfam family "Bacterial small subunit ribosomal RNA", at positions 524 to 776 of the family's 1533-position model. The record is from RNAcentral.